GAUAUUCCAAGCAUUAGAGUCAAAAUUGCAAAUGAUCUUAUCUUCGUCCCUGGUAAUUCUGGAAUGAAGAGUCGUGUUCUUGAAUAUGAUGUUUAAGGUAAUUACUAUAUUUAUCAUUUAUUUAGUUGUAAGACAUGUUUUUUUAUUAAUUAAAUUAUAGAAACAUUUUUUGUUUAUAAAGUUCCCUUUCUUCACAUGCAGGGAGACACUCAACAUAUUGUCCAACAACAUGCAAUAUAUAACUAUAUAGUCUGCUUGUUCUCAAAUAGUAGAGUAAUUCUGGAUUUGUUCACAUCCAUGCUGUAAUGGAUUUGUUCAUAUACAUGCUGUAAUUGUGGUGCUAAAAUUAAUACAAAACAAAAUUUCAAGUUUUUUUCGGAUCAAAAUAUUCCUUCUUUCACUUUCAUUGCCUCCUCAUGCAGAAACAACCUCCUCAUUGCCUUCUUUCACUUUCAUUGUCUUCAUUUUCUUAUUAGUAUUUGACUUUGGACCUGAGAAAAAAAAUAGUUAAUCAUUUUCAUAUAU
Molecule: long non-coding RNA, 525 nt
Filed under: Setaria italica (foxtail millet)
Lineage: Eukaryota; Viridiplantae; Streptophyta; Magnoliopsida; Poales; Poaceae
Description: long non-coding RNA (SITA_LNC000954)
Source: RNAcentral